UACGGAGGGGGCUAGCGUUGUUCGGAAUUACUGGGCGUAAAGCGCACGUAGGCGGCUUUGUAAGUUAGAGGUGAAAGCCCGGGGCUCAACUCCGGAACUGCCUUUAAGACUGCAUCGCUUGAAUCAUGGAGAGGUCAGUGGAAUUCCGAGUGUAGAGGUGAAAUUCGUAGAUAUUCGGAAGAACACCAGUGGCGAAGGCGACUUACUGGACACAUAUUGACGCUGAGGUGCGAAAGCGUGGGGAGCAAACAGG
Molecule: ribosomal RNA, 253 nt
Filed under: uncultured bacterium
Lineage: Bacteria
Description: partial 16S ribosomal RNA
Rfam family: Bacterial small subunit ribosomal RNA
Source: RNAcentral